This is a long non-coding RNA of Amphiprion ocellaris (clown anemonefish), 391 nucleotides long. Lineage: Eukaryota; Metazoa; Chordata; Actinopteri; Pomacentridae. The record is from Ensembl.
GAGUACGUGCCAGAAAGACCACGACCAAGCAGCCUUGAGAUCUUAGGCAGCGUCUCCCUCAGGUCCCUCUCUAUCUCCCCACACAUCCACCAACCACUGGAACACAUCUCCAAAGUUCUGCCAGGCCAGCUCAGCUUCCCUUCAGAAGAAGUGCUGCCAGAUGAAGGAGCCUUUUGAGAGGCAGCUGGCAUCGUGAUUGGACUGUACUUUGGUCUGUUCCAAUCCAGCUUCAGCUCCAGAGACGGCAGGCGGGACGAGUCAACAGAGGCCGGAUGGACGAAGGCAUGCAGCUGAGUACAAUCCAGAAAACAACAGAGGAGGAGUGCAGUGGUCCAGGGCCAGAACAACCACAGUAGCAUCACCAAAGAACUACAGACUCUUCACAACCUGC